UACAUAUUACCUUGGCCCCAAAUUAAUUGUCUUAGAUUUGUCUAGAUACGGAUGUACCUAAUACUUAAAUGUAUCUAGAUACAUUCGUAUCUAGACAAGUCUAAGACAAUUAAUUCGGGAUAAGGGGAGUAUAUA
Molecule: non-coding RNA, 135 nt
Organism: Triticum aestivum (bread wheat)
Lineage: Eukaryota; Viridiplantae; Streptophyta; Magnoliopsida; Poales; Poaceae
Source: Rfam